CCUACGGGAGGCAGCAGUGGGGAAUAUUGGGCAAUGGGCGCAAGCCUGACCCAGCAACGCCGCGUGAAGGAAGAAGGCUUUCGGGUUGUAAACUUCUUUUGUCAGGGACGAAGCAAGUGACGGUACCUGACGAAUAAGCCACGGCUAACUACGGGCAAGCAGCCGCGGCAAUACGUAGGUGGCAAGCGUUAUCCGGAUUUACUGGGUGUAAAGGGCGUUUAGGCGGGACUGUAAGUCAGAUGGUAGAACCACGGGGUCAACCUGUGACUUGGAUUUGAUACUGUAUUUCUAGAGUACUGGAGAGGCAGACGGAAUUCCUGGUGUAGCGGUGAAAUGCUUAGAGAUUA
This 347-nucleotide ribosomal RNA is filed under the name uncultured bacterium. RNAcentral's name for it is "partial 16S ribosomal RNA". It matches the Rfam family "Bacterial small subunit ribosomal RNA", at positions 338 to 699 of the family's 1533-position model. The record is from RNAcentral.